CGUUCAGCAUAAGCUUUUUGAAGAAUACGGAAUCGCGUUCUGGUGGAAGCACUUGUGAUGCGAUCAUUUGUGCCUAUAAAGCAUAUACAUUUUGAUUUUUUUUUUUUUUGAAAACGAUAGGUCGUUUCGCUAGAUAAGACCCUUAUUCCUCGUCUGGUAUCGUUUAAAGCCCUUUGAAGCUGCAAUAAAACUGUAAUUUUGACCUUCAACUGUUUGGAGACAAUUGAAGUCCAUUAUAAGGAGAAUGAUCCUGGAAUGUUUUCAUUAAAAACCUUAAUUUCUUUUCAACUGAAGAAAGAAGGACAUGGACAUCUUGGAUGACAUGGGGCUCCAGUUGAUUCAACAACACUGAUUCCAGUCGGCAGCUCAAACUCUGAGAAGAAAUCAAGCCGAACAGCAGCAGCUCCGACACAAGGUGCAUCUGAAAAAAAACUCUCUUAUACAGAUAAUCGGAUCAUUACCUCAAAC
Ctenopharyngodon idella (grass carp) is the source of this 468-nucleotide long non-coding RNA. RefSeq lists it as uncharacterized. The transcript has 3 exons. The record is from RefSeq and is a predicted model, not a curated record. NCBI's taxonomy places the organism in Eukaryota, Metazoa, Chordata, Actinopteri, Cypriniformes, Xenocyprididae.